ACAACUACUGAGCCCGCGUGCCACAACUACUGAAGCCUGCGUGCCUAGAGCCCGUGCUCUGCAACAAGAGAAGCCACCGCAAUGAGAAGCCCGCGCACCACAACGAAGAGCAGCCCCCGCUCGCCGCAACUAGAGAAAGCCCACGCGCAGCAACGAAGACCCAACACAGCCAAAAAAAAGUAAAUAAAUU
Molecule: long non-coding RNA, 190 nt
Organism: Orcinus orca (killer whale)
Lineage: Eukaryota; Metazoa; Chordata; Mammalia; Artiodactyla; Delphinidae
Exons: 2
Source: RefSeq, a predicted model, not a curated record